AGGCAGUUAGUUUAAAUAAAGCACUUGAUUUCGGCUCAAAAGCUUGUGGUUGAAGUCCACAACUACCUA
This 69-nucleotide transfer RNA is filed under the name Archoplites interruptus (Sacramento perch). RNAcentral's name for it is "tRNA-Arg". It matches the Rfam family "tRNA". Rfam says of the family: Transfer RNA (tRNA) molecules are approximately 80 nucleotides in length. Their secondary structure includes four short double-helical elements and three loops (D, anti-codon, and T loops). The record is from RNAcentral. Lineage: Eukaryota; Metazoa; Chordata; Actinopteri; Centrarchiformes; Centrarchidae.